GGUGCGGUGCCAGAGUGGUUAAUGGGUAUGACUCGAAUUAACUAGAUAUCAUAUGGCUUCGGCCGCAGGAGUUCGAAUCUCCUCCGCAUCG
Molecule: non-coding RNA, 91 nt
Organism: Bipolaris zeicola 26-R-13
Lineage: Eukaryota; Fungi; Ascomycota; Dothideomycetes; Pleosporales; Pleosporaceae
Source: Rfam